CCCGGAGAGGAGGAGGUCAAACUGGCUAAGUUCCUCCACAGGUGACAUGAUCCGUAUUAAAGGCCCCGGAGAGGAGGAGGUCAAACUGGCUAAGUUCCUCCACAGGUGACAUGAUCCGUAUUAAAGGCCCCGGAGAGGAGGAGGUCAAACUGGCUAAGUUCCUCCACAGGUGACAUGAUCCGUAUUAAAGGCCCCGGAGAGGAGGAGGUCAAACUGGCUAAGUUCCUCCACAGGUGACAUGAUCCGUAUUAAAGGCCCCGGAGAGGAGGAGGUCAAACUGGCUAAGUUCCUCCACAGGUGACAUGAUCCGUAUUAAAGGCCCCGGAGAGGAGGAGGUCAAACUGGCUAAGUUCCUCCACAGGUGACAUGAUCCGUAUUAAAGGCCCCGGAGAGGAGGAGGUCAAACUGGCUAAGUUCCUCCACAGGUGACAUGAUCCGUAUUAAAGGCCCCGGAGAGGAGGAGGUCAAACUGGCUAAGUUCCUCCACAGGUGACAUGAUCCGUAUUAAAGGCCCCGGAGAGGAGGAGGUCAAACUGGCUAAGUUCCUCCACAGGUGACAUGAUCCGUAUUAAAGGCCCCGGAGAGGAGGAGGUCAAACUGGCUAAGUUCCUCCACAGGUGACAUGAUCCGUAUUAAAGGCCCCGGAGAGGAGGAGGUCAAACUGGCUAAGUUCCUCCACAGGUGACAUGAUCCGUAUUAAAGGCCCCGGAGAGGAGGAGGUCAAACUGGCUAAGUUCCUCCACAGGUGACAUGAUCCGUAUUAAAGGCCCCGGAGAGGAGGAGGUCAAACUGGCUAAGUUCCUCCACAGGUGACAUGAUCCGUAUUAAAGGCCCCGGAGAGGAGGAGGUCAAACUGGCUAAGUUCCUCCACAGGUGACAUGAUCCGUAUUAAAGGCCCCGGAGAGGAGGAGGUCAAACUGGCUAAGUUCCUCCACAGGUGACAUGAUCCGUAUUAAAGGCCCCGGAGAGGAGGAGGUCAAACUGGCUAAGUUCCUCCACAGGUGACAUGAUCCGUAUUAAAGGCCCCGGAGAGGAGGAGGUCAAACUGGCUAAGUUCCUCCACAGGUGACAUGAUCCGUAUUAAAGGCCCCGGAGAGGAGGAGGUCAAACUGGCUAAGUUCCUCCACAGGUGACAUGAUCCGUAUUAAAGGCCCCGGAGAGGAGGAGGUCAAAC
Oncorhynchus keta (chum salmon) is the source of this 1174-nucleotide long non-coding RNA. RefSeq lists it as uncharacterized. The record is from RefSeq and is a predicted model, not a curated record. The transcript has 3 exons. Lineage: Eukaryota; Metazoa; Chordata; Actinopteri; Salmoniformes; Salmonidae.